Molecule: long non-coding RNA, 408 nt
Organism: Rhipicephalus sanguineus (brown dog tick)
Lineage: Eukaryota; Metazoa; Arthropoda; Arachnida; Ixodida; Ixodidae
Exons: 3
Source: RefSeq, a predicted model, not a curated record
UGAGAACGACAUCGCUGUGGGCGGCCACGACUCGACUAUAACAGCUCCGAUGUAGAAUACGGAUAUUUCCAUCACGCGAGAUUUUCAUGUGCUGUACACUGACUGUCUGACUUGUACAAUCCUUCGUCACCACUAUGCUGCCCAUGGAUACGGCUGCAGCUACUGGCUCCGCAUAGACACAGGCUUCCAGGACAACGACGGCUGCGAGUUCAUCUACGACGAAAACUGCGGCACGUCACCAAAAUACUACUUCUACGACAACACUUGCCCCAUGUAGACGAAGAAUUAUAUAGGCAACCUUGCAUCUGGAAAUGUACAACCAGGAACAAUUUAAAUUCCAACAAGUUAGGGCUAAGAAAACACGUUAUUUCGUUUCUGCAGUCGCCGGUACGCUUAUUGUAGUCAGUA